GGCAGGCGCGGGCCAAAGUCGGAUAAUUAGCCAUGGCUACUCACUCAGGUAGACUCUCCUUGGCAUCGCCUCCUGGCCAAGGCCGUCCUGCACUGUCUGGUUAGGGUUAGUUACGAACGCAUCAAGAAGCCAUUAGCAGGGGAUUAGCGAGGUGAUCUAACAGCUAGCUGAUCAUCCAACCCGUCACUUUGGCCAGGAGCUGGUGACAGUCAUCGUCGGUCAGUUGGCCCACACAGCGAGAAAUGGAACGGAUAUUUAUGUGACUAAUUUCCAUUUAAGUUACCAUCUCCUUGCAUGUUUCCCAGUAUUACUGAACAUUAUACGUGUAUUAUACACUAGAAUUGAUUUAUUAUCAAUCU
Molecule: non-coding RNA, 359 nt
Organism: Drosophila melanogaster (fruit fly)
Lineage: Eukaryota; Metazoa; Arthropoda; Insecta; Diptera; Drosophilidae
Source: Ensembl